This is a non-coding RNA of Anas platyrhynchos (mallard), 3061 nucleotides long. The record is from RefSeq and is a predicted model, not a curated record. NCBI's taxonomy places the organism in Eukaryota, Metazoa, Chordata, Aves, Anseriformes, Anatidae.
UUCAGUAGCUUUUGAGCUUAAGAAGUUUACCCAGUCACUUUUUCCUUUCACCUAGGAAAGCCAUUCCUUGGUUUCCACAGUAGUGCAACAUAUUGCAGUCGAAACAGCCUGUUUAAUUUAGAAAAGCAAGUGACAAAACAGGGAGAGGGUGGCUGUAGGAGCACACAGAGCACCUGUGGUCUGGAGGACAUGGGUCUGGCUCCUCGCAGGGCUACCAUCUUGUUGGAGGACCCCGUGUGACUGGACAUCUGCAGCAGAGAUGUGGUGGGCAAAGAGGAACUCGAUUUCUUUGCAAAGCAAAAUGGAGAAUGUGUAAUACAGACGAGCAGUUAAACUACCCUGUACUGCAGCAACUGAUUCACUGACUCCUGUGCAAAUGGGGUUAACGAAGUCUUGAGUGUAUCUUCCAGCUAUGAAUUCUGUUACACCCAGCCUAUGCAAAACCCCAAGCUCAUUUACAUAGAGGUCCUGAAAAACAGUUUUACAGAAGUCUGAUAUUAUCUAGUAACUGUAUUGUAAAAUAAAUUGCUCUUCCUACGAACUGGGUGCAGCGUGCACUCUUCUAUCAGUGCCCUGCUCAGGAUAGUGAGCAACACCGGCACCUUCAGCAGCCCCUGUGGUAGCCUUACCACGUGGAGACUGACCAGGCAGAAGAGACCAGGAGAUGGCACAUGAUAAAGAGUGCUUCUCUCAGAGGUGCUCCUCGCUGCUCGGUGAGGGAGCACACCUCACCCAUCUCUCUUACACCCUUGAUGUAUGAGGUACGUGCAAACCACCAGCCAGAAAAGAAAACCUCCCAGCUGACAGAGCUCCUUCCACAACCAUGCGUAAUAGGCCACAAACAAUUGUUCCACAUCGAUAUUUCCAAGGUAAGAGAGGCAAACGCUUUCAUUCUCAGUUACGGUUCUGUUAACUGGAGUCACACGAACGACACUUGCAUCUUAAAGCUGCAUUUCAUUGCAGACUCAUUCAUGACUUCAGAUGUGUCUUUGCUCUAAGGGACAGGCUCAGCCCCACCGCAGUCGGUGGCCGUUUUGUCACAGCCUGGGUGGAGGCAGGACAUUACCCCAAGCGCUGCUGUCUCUGGGGCAUGCUUUCAGCUCCCGGCUGUGCCUACAGAGAAAAGGAGAAGCACGGCUGGAGGCAUGUGGGUGUAAAGCAGCGCCGGCUUGAACCAGCCCCUCGUGUAUAAUAACAGUAGUGAAAACCGGAGGCAUGCCUGCCACCCCCGCUCGGCUCCGUGCACACCGGCAUCUCCGAGGGCUUGGCUGGUGGUGCCUUGCGCCCGCGCGAUUGCAUCUGUCUGUGUUACCCGCGCGAGACAGAUGAGAGCUUUCAUCUCACUGUGCCAGCUUGCCUUCCACUACCCUUUGAUACCGCAGCACGUAUAAAUAGAGACCCGAGCGCUGACAGGCAAGGAAGCUCGUCUGCCCACUGCAAAGGCUGAGGUGCCCUGCUCCAGCUGCUCGGCAUCCUCACAGUGUGUGCGUUUGCCAAAAGUGGGGACCAUGCAGGAUGCUUUAGCAAUGCUUACUGAGCUCAGCAUCCCUCGGCGCUUGUUCAAGUCUUCUGUGAAUGCCCCAGAGCCUGCGAGUCAUGUGUCUGGCCUGCAUGGCGCAGGUGUAUGCCAUCAAGCCAGCUCAAAAGGGCACUUAUGGGAGCUGUAGGCAAAGCUGGGGACGUGCAGGGCAUUUGUCACAAAGGAAACAGAUGCUCAGGUGUGCUCCGCGCUCCUUUGCCCCCAACAUUCAACUGUUUCACAGAUGGUCAUCUUUCUCUUCCAAAAAAUGCACUUCAAGGGCUGGGUCAGUGCCUUCCGAGGUUGCUGGUUUGACAAGGAUUGCAAGGCUUGCCCUCAGAAGAGAUGAGUGAAAUGCCUAUAACAAAUCACACUCAACCCGCUGGGUUGCAAGUCCCCUCACGCCGCAUUCAUGGAGAGAUUUGUACGAGAGGUCAGCCUUUCAACUCACAGCCAAAACCCUACCUAAGGGCACCUCCCAAACACAUCUCAAAAUCAUGGCGCCAACGUGAAACCAAACAACAGAAAGCACAGUGCAAGAGCAAAUACUCAGAAGGCAAAAGAAAAAGCCCCAAGCCCCUGACUUGGGCUGCUUUUGUGUUCACUGGAAUCAGAAACUCAAAACAAAAAGCGCAGGCUGAAAAACCCAGACAGAUCAAAGGCAGAGAAAAUGUUCUCACAGAUCUUUGUGAAGUGAAACUACCCAAUUUCACAGAGUUUCACUUGCAAGCAGAAGUGGUGAGCCCUGCGGACAGCAUUAAGGAUGAAUUGGAAACUCUACCAGGUAGCAACUACUGGCACUCUCUGCCACUCUGCUUUCAUAGCCAUCCCUUCUGUGCCCUUUCCAUUUUUCCUGUUUCAAUUGUCUGGACACUUCAGGGAGGAGAUAUCCAUACUAUUCAUCUACGAUUUGGGAAGCUGACUCAAGUUUAUACAAAUAUGAGCCAUUCUCGUAAGAUGACAGAAGAGGUAAUGAAGGUAAUGUAAUGUUUUCUUGUCCCUCUCUCAGACCAGUGACUCACCUACCCCAUGGCUGCUAACAGAUGUCUUGGAGGCAGCCACAAUUCAUUUUGCAGACAACAGACCUGCUUACAUGGGAAGCUUUCUUUUCAAGCUUUAGCAGAGACUGGUUUGUGCUCUGAAACACAGCAGUGAGAGACGGAGGGAGAACUUAAAACCUUCCAAAGUACAUGUAUCUUCUUUUCCUGGCUGGUGCAUAUCAAGAAACUGCUAUCUGUAUUCAGAUUGAGCUGUUCUAUGGACUCUGGGUUUCAAUAAAUUUUGUGUUUCAACGGUGUUUCACAGCAACAAGCUCUUGCUUGUAAUCACCCGCUGUUUAAAACUAUUUCUACCGUACUCUGCUUCAUUGACUAAGCACAGAGAAAGAAGGAAGGAGGAGGAGAUGAGAAGGAAUGAAGGAUGAGCUGACUGUCUGUUAGAGUUGUUUUACGAAAACCCAAACAAAUAGAAAACACAAGUAAAUAAAUCAAAACUUAAAAAAAGGGGAGAGAAAAAAAAAAAAAAAAAAAAAAAAAAAAAACA